CAAGGAGUUUUCCGCAAUGGGCGCAAGCCUGACGGAGCAACGCCGCGUGGGGGAUGACGCCCUUCGGGGUGUAAACCCCUUUUCUUGGGGACGAAGCAGUGACGGUACCCGAGGAAGAAGGCCCGGCUAACUACGUGCCAGCAGCCGCGGUAAUACGUAGGGGCCGAGCGUUGUCCGGAGUUACUGGGCGUAAAGCGCGCGCAGGCGGCUCGUCAAGCCUGACGUGAAAGCCCCCGGCUCAACCGGGGAGGGUCGUCGGGGACUGGCGGGCUUGAGGUCGGCAGGGGUUGGUGGAAUUCCCGGUGUAGUGGUGAGAUGCGUAGAGAUCGGGAGGAACACCCGUGGCGAAGGCGGCCAACUGGGCCGGACCUGACGCUGAGGCGCGAAGGCGUGGGGAGCGAACG
This 404-nucleotide ribosomal RNA is filed under the name uncultured bacterium. RNAcentral's name for it is "bacterial SSU rRNA". It matches the Rfam family "Bacterial small subunit ribosomal RNA", at positions 355 to 774 of the family's 1533-position model. The record is from RNAcentral.